GCCAGUGUGGUGUAGUGGUUUGAAUGUUGGACUAUGGCUCAGGAGACCAGGGUUUGAUUCCCUGCCCAGGCA
This 72-nucleotide transfer RNA is filed under the name Phrynosoma platyrhinos (Desert horned lizard). RNAcentral describes it as "tRNA-OTHER". It matches the Rfam family "tRNA". Rfam says of the family: Transfer RNA (tRNA) molecules are approximately 80 nucleotides in length. Their secondary structure includes four short double-helical elements and three loops (D, anti-codon, and T loops). The record is from RNAcentral. Lineage: Eukaryota; Metazoa; Chordata; Lepidosauria; Squamata; Phrynosomatidae.